GGGAGGGAGGGUAUGUUGUCCUGUCUGCUGGGUCCUGGUCCGGUGGAGCUGCUGGUCCGUCUCAGACCUCCUCUCCUCGGCCUACUGUGGAUUAUUAUGGACUGUGUCGGUGGAUUAUUGUUGGAUUAUUAACUCUGCUGAAGUGACCGGUCAAAGGAAGCGAUCAUUAAUUUCAAACAAGAACCUUCCUCAGACAGACAGAGACCAGCCUCUACUGGACCUGGACUUGGACCAGGACCAGGACCAGGACCUGAGCCCAGCUGAUGAUGGGAGUAAGUCACAUACGUGCAAGUGGAUUUGAAUCUGGUCCGUCAAACUAAACAGCUGUGAGAAAAGUCUUUCUCUGUCUGAGCCGGUUGGCUCCACUUGUUACAGACCAGUUUUAAAGUCCAACAGCAGGCGACAGACCGAAGAUCCGGAGACCAAAUAGUCCACACAGAACCGACAAGCUGCCGACUCAACGGCUCAGUGAGCUGAAGAAGUUCUGUGAAGUUCUGAGGUUGUGGGUUCAAGCCUGGAGUCAGAACCAGUAAGAAAGGAAGGACGAGUAUCUGAUGACGUCGCUUCCACCGUUAAAGUUGUGAGUUCAAAUCCUCGAGGUUUUUACACAAUUAUUUUGUUCUCAAAAGAAGUGAAACGCUCAAAUAAAGUGAUUAAUUUAAGUAAAUAAAGAGCUGCCACACAGUUAGUGUCAGUACAACAGCACAACUACAGCAAACCUGUUUCUUCAACACGUCUGAAUGUAUUGAUUUGUUAUUGGAUCAGCACACAUGAGAUCAGAUCAGAUGAGAUGAUUGAAACAUAACAGAUGUGUCAGGAGAGGUGAAGAACCACAGACCUCCCCUCCAUCACACACACACACACACACACAC
Molecule: long non-coding RNA, 872 nt
Organism: Acanthopagrus latus (yellowfin seabream)
Lineage: Eukaryota; Metazoa; Chordata; Actinopteri; Spariformes; Sparidae
Exons: 3
Source: RefSeq, a predicted model, not a curated record